Molecule: unclassified non-coding RNA, 380 nt
Filed under: uncultured Rickettsiales bacterium
Lineage: Bacteria; Pseudomonadati; Pseudomonadota; Alphaproteobacteria; Rickettsiales
Description: contains 16S-23S intergenic spacer region
Source: RNAcentral
UCCGGCUUAUCACCGGCGGUUUCCUCAGAGUACCCAGCUUGACCUGUUGGUAACAGAGGACGAGGGUUGCGCUCGUUGCGGGACUUAACCCAACAUCUCACGACACGAGCUGACGACAGCCAUGCAGCACCUGUGCACCUCCCACCCGAAGUGAAGGAGUCCGUUUCCGGUCUCCAUAGAGGGCAUGUCAAGUCUUGGUAAGGUUCUUCGCGUUGCCUCGAAUUAAACCACAUGUUCCACCGCUUGUGCGGGUCCCCGUCAAUUCCUUUGAGUUUUAAUCUUGCGACCGUACUCCCCAGGCGGGGUGCUUAACGCGUUAGCUACGCCACUGACUCCUACGGAGCCAACAGCUAGCACCCAUCGUUUACGGCGUGGACUAC